AUGGCAAGUAACACUGCGCCACAACCACGCAUACAAUUAUGCCAAGCUACUCGUUUAAUUGGCGUAACUCAUUAGAAUAAUACAUAUAAUGAAUUUAGCAUUACCUAUUGGAAUUUAUUUUUAAAUUAAAUUUCACUUAAUCUAUUUAUAAAAUAAUUAUCAAUAAAUUUAAGAGAUAUUUAAGUGACCUUAAAAAUUACAAAAUUUGAGUUUGAAUUAAAGUUAAAUAAAACGACAUGCUCUGAUGGUGACAAUGGCUGAGGAUGAGAUGACAUUAGCUAGCCAGCCAAAAAGGCAAAAAGACAAUAGAGACACUGCUCCAGGCUCCAGAUUAUUAUCCCCCCC
RNAcentral lists this unclassified non-coding RNA (345 nucleotides) under Hevea brasiliensis (rubber tree). Lineage: Eukaryota; Viridiplantae; Streptophyta; Magnoliopsida; Malpighiales; Euphorbiaceae. The record is from RNAcentral.